UAUUCACACUUCUUUGGUUAAGAUCUUCUGAACUCAAUUUUAUAAAUCACAUAGGAUUAUCUUUCUUAUUUAUCAAGGAUAAUAAAUUUCAUCUUGGUGUAUACCUUAUUCCUACAAUAAAUCUACUAAAGCCAACAUACAUUGCAAGGAUCCAUAUAGCUAGGGAUCAAGUGUAGAUAUAAUCAAACUAUAGCUUUCUUGCUAUGAAUAACUGAGACACCUC
This 223-nucleotide long non-coding RNA is filed under the name Elaeis guineensis (African oil palm). Its description in RNAcentral is "long non-coding RNA (EGUI_LNC033287)". The record is from RNAcentral. Lineage: Eukaryota; Viridiplantae; Streptophyta; Magnoliopsida; Arecales; Arecaceae.